RNAcentral lists this ribosomal RNA (250 nucleotides) under uncultured bacterium. RNAcentral's name for it is "partial 16S ribosomal RNA". It matches the Rfam family "Bacterial small subunit ribosomal RNA", at positions 524 to 773 of the family's 1533-position model. The record is from RNAcentral.
UACGGAGGGUGCAAGCGUUAUCCGGAUUUACUGGGUUUAAAGGGUGUGUAGGCGGGCUAUUAAGUCAGUGGUGAAAUCUCCGAGCUUAACUCGGAAACUGCCAUUGAUACUAUUAGUCUUGAAUAUUGUUGAGGUUGGCGGAAUAUGUCAUGUAGCGGUGAAAUGCUUAGAUAUGACAUAGAACACCGAUUGCGAAGGCAGCUAGCUAAACAAUUAUUGACGCUGAGGCACGAAAGCGUGGGGAUCAAAC